RNAcentral lists this transfer RNA (77 nucleotides) under Rhizobium laguerreae. RNAcentral's name for it is "tRNA-Met". It matches the Rfam family "tRNA". From Rfam's summary of the family: Transfer RNA (tRNA) molecules are approximately 80 nucleotides in length. Their secondary structure includes four short double-helical elements and three loops (D, anti-codon, and T loops). The record is from RNAcentral. Lineage: Bacteria; Pseudomonadati; Pseudomonadota; Alphaproteobacteria; Hyphomicrobiales; Rhizobiaceae.
GGCCGGGUAGCUCAGAUGGUUAGAGCACGGGAUUCAUAACCCCGAGGUCAGGAGUUCGAUUCUCCUCCUUGCCACCA